RNA transcript from Cercocebus atys (sooty mangabey), 647 nucleotides. It is a transcript of the gene named 60S ribosomal protein L18 pseudogene, with no coding region annotated. The transcript has a single exon. Lineage: Eukaryota; Metazoa; Chordata; Mammalia; Primates; Cercopithecidae. The record is from RefSeq and is a predicted model, not a curated record.
GGACCUGGCCGAGCAGGAGGCGCCAUCAUGGGAGUUGACAUCCGCCACAACAAGGAUGGAAAGGUUCGGCGCAAGGAGCCCAAGAGCCAGGAUAUCUACCUGAGGCUGUUGGUCAAGUUGUACAGGUUUCUGGCCAGAAGAACCAAUUCCACAUUCAACCAGGUUGUGCUGAAGAGGUUGUUUAUGAGUCGCACCAACCGGCCGCCUCUGUCCCUUUCCCGGAUGAUCCGGAACAUGAAGCUUCCUGGCCGGGAAAACAAAAUGGCCGUGGUUGUGGGGACCAUAACGGAUGACGUGCGGGUUCAGGAGGUGCUCAAACUGAAGGUAUGUGCAUUGCGCGUAACCAGCCGGCCCGCAGCCGCAUCCUCAGGGCAGGGGGCAAGAUCCUCACUUUCGACCAGUUGGCCCUGGACUCCCCCAAGGGCUGCAGCACUGUCCUGCUCUCCGGUCCUGGCAAGGGCCGAGAGGUGUACCGGCAUUUCGGCAAGGCCCCAGGAAUCGUGCACAGCCACACCAAACCCUAAGUCCGCUCCAAGGGCCGGAAGUUCGAGCGUGCCAGAGGCCGAUGGGCCAGCCGAGGCUACAAGAACUAACCUUGGAUCCUACCCUCUUAUUAAAAAGAUUUUGAAUGCUGAAAAAAAAAAAAA